Molecule: ribosomal RNA, 253 nt
Filed under: uncultured bacterium
Lineage: Bacteria
Description: partial 16S ribosomal RNA
Rfam family: Bacterial small subunit ribosomal RNA
Source: RNAcentral
UACAGAGGUCCCAAGCGUUGUUCGGAUUCAUUGGGCGUAAAGGGCUCGUAGGCGGCCAACUAAGUCGGAUGUGAAAUCCCCAGGCUCAACCUGGGAACUGCAUCCGAUACUGGAUGGCUUGAAUUCGGGAGAGGGAUGCAGAAUUCCAGGUGUAGCGGUGAAAUGCGUAGAUAUCUGGAGGAAUACCGGUGGCGAAGGCGGCAUCCUGGACCGACAUUGACGCUGAUGAGCGAAAGCUAGGGGAGCAAACGGG